Non-coding RNA from Pelobates cultripes (western spadefoot toad), 896 nucleotides. Lineage: Eukaryota; Metazoa; Chordata; Amphibia; Anura; Pelobatidae. The record is from the annotation of a GenBank genome assembly.
CAGAUUUUACCUGUUAACAUUUUUAGCACAACAACACCUGAUGUCAGUGAGAUGUCUAUCACUGAGAUGUUACAAAGAUUCCAAUACAGCAAAAAGAGGCGUUCUUGAGAUUCCACUUCGAUUGCUGUAUCAACAUAACAUUUACUAUAACUGGAUCCAUGUCAUUUAAGACAAUGUCUUGGAAAUGCAGUCAAUUAAUAUAUUCCGUAAAAGAAUAUCGGAGAGUAUCCAAUCUAUACACAUCAUAAACGGUGUAAAAAUGUUUCAUGGAAAAAACAAAAUAAAAAAAGCAAAGACAAAUACCAACGCCAUCACCACGGUGAUAACAGAUGAUGCUGAUUCAAUAUCUGCGACCAAUUCUAGCCAAAUAUUUGUAAAGCUGGACUCUACAACCUAUACUCUACAACAAAUACCCGGGUAUUCUACAAACACAACCUCCAGCAAUGUAUCUAAGGAAUGUAAACUUCUACAGGCCUUUAAAGACUUUGGAUUACAAAUACAAUUACUAUUUUUAAUUUUGGAUUACAAUUCGUAUCCGGAUCCAUCCAAGUAUAUCUUACUCUGGAACUUGGUGUUCUUUUCAAUUCAUUCCCAGACAAAAGCUUUGCUCAUUUUAAUCAACCACUUUUACAUACAAAGAUCACACUACGGAUAUUUUACUGUUACAACAAUGAUCCAUGAUGCUGGGAGCACAAAAACCUAAAGACAGUUGGAGAACUUUGGUUCACUAAUUUAAGGAAGAAAUGCGCUACAAUGCCCACAGUUUAAUGGAGAGGGUGUUAUGGGCAAAUGCAAAUAUUACAAGUUUUAGAAUGAAAUGUUGUAUUUCUUAAACUGUGUACUUUGUCUUUAAGAUAUAUUGCAAACUGACAAGGUGUUAGAAAUGGAACAUAUUG